RNAcentral lists this non-coding RNA (223 nucleotides) under Bacillus sp. (in: firmicutes). RNAcentral's name for it is "Bacillus sp. T-box sequence". It matches the Rfam family "T-box leader". From Rfam's summary of the family: Uncharged tRNA acts as the effector for transcription antitermination of genes in the T-box leader family. T-boxes are found upstream of many aminoacyl-tRNA synthetase genes and some amino acid biosynthetic genes usually in Gram-positive bacteria. RNAcentral also lists the same sequence under 1 other name. The record is from RNAcentral. Lineage: Bacteria; Bacillati; Bacillota; Bacilli; Caryophanales; Bacillaceae.
UGAAAAACAUUGAGUAGGAGUAGUAGUGAUAAUGACCCGCAUUAAGAGAGUUGACGGCUGGUGGAAGUCAACCGGGUACAGCAUGAACUCGCCUAUGAGUUGUAAGCACGAAUUGUACAGUAAUGCUUACCGUUUUCCGCGUUAUGGAUGAAUUAAGCGAGUGUUUACAACACUAAUGUGGGUGGUACCGCGGGAAGAUACAUACAAUCCUCUCGUCCCUUUU